CAUCGUUGACAACGCCAUGACCAAGAAGCCGCAGGUGGUGCAGAUCGACCCGAGCGACAAGGCAUUCAAGACGGACGGCUGCCAACCGUGGCAGAAGACUGACACGCCUGCUCCCGCCAGUCCCUCGCCGUCGGAUGCACAAAAGCAGCUCCAGACUCUGAUCGGCGGCCUGAACGGCGCUGUCGGUCAGUCCGGUGCCGG
RNAcentral lists this non-coding RNA (201 nucleotides) under Mycobacterium noviomagense. Its description in RNAcentral is "Mycobacterium sRNA 6715". It matches the Rfam family "Mycobacterium sRNA 6715". Rfam says of the family: First sRNA identified as a potential biomarker for the detection of MTB in patients. Lineage: Bacteria; Bacillati; Actinomycetota; Actinomycetes; Mycobacteriales; Mycobacteriaceae. The record is from Rfam by way of RNAcentral.